CCUACGGGUGGCAGCAGUCGAGAAUCAUUCACAAUGGGGGAAACCCUGAUGGUGCGACGCCGCGUGGGGGAAUGAAGGUCUUCGGAUUGUAAACCCCUGUCAUGUGGGAGCAAAUUAAAAAGAUAGUACCACAAGAGGAAGAGACGGCUAACUCUGUCCCAGCAGCCGCGGUAAUACAGAGGUCUCAAGCGUUGUUCGGAAUCACUGGGCGUAAAGCGUGCGUAGGCUGUUUCGUAAGUCGUGUGUGAAAGGCGCGGGCUCAACCCGCGGACGGCACAUGAUACUGCGAGACUAGAGUAAGGGAGGGGGAACCGGAAUUCUCGGUGUAGCAGUGAAAUGCGUAGAUAUCGAGAGGAACACUCGUGGCGAAGGCGGGUUCCUGGACAUUAACUGACGCUGAGGCACGAAGGCCAGGGGAGCGAAAGGGAUUAGAUACCCUUGUAGUC
RNAcentral lists this ribosomal RNA (446 nucleotides) under uncultured bacterium. Its description in RNAcentral is "partial 16S ribosomal RNA". It matches the Rfam family "Bacterial small subunit ribosomal RNA", at positions 338 to 795 of the family's 1533-position model. The record is from RNAcentral.